Molecule: ribosomal RNA, 535 nt
Filed under: uncultured bacterium
Lineage: Bacteria
Description: bacterial SSU rRNA
Rfam family: Bacterial small subunit ribosomal RNA
Source: RNAcentral
CGAACGCUGGCGGCAGGCCUAACACAUGCAAGUCGAGCGCGCCCUUCGGGGUGAGCGGCGGACGGGUUAGUAACGCGUGGGAACGUGCCCUUUGGUACGGAAUAGCCUCUGGAAACGGAGAGUAAUACCGUAUGAGCCCUUCGGGGGAAAGAUUUAUCGCCAAAGGAUCGGCCCGCGUUAGAUUAGGUAGUUGGUGGGGUAAUGGCCUACCAAGCCUACGAUCUAUAGCUGGUUUUAGAGGAUGAUCAGCAACACUGGGACUGAGACACGGCCCAGACUCCUACGGGAGGCAGCAGUGGGGAAUCUUGGACAAUGGGGGCAACCCUGAUCCAGCCAUGCCGCGUGAGUGAUGAAGGCCUUAGGGUCGUAAAGCUCUUUCGCCUGUGAAGAUAAUGACGGUAGCAGGUAAAGAAACCCCGGCUAACUCCGUGCCAGCAGCCGCGGUAAUACGGAGGGGGUUAGCGUUGUUCGGAAUUACUGGGCGUAAAGCGCACGUAGGCGGACCAAAAAGUUGGGGGUGAAAUCCCGGGGCUCA